RNAcentral lists this ribosomal RNA (253 nucleotides) under uncultured bacterium. Its description in RNAcentral is "partial 16S ribosomal RNA". It matches the Rfam family "Bacterial small subunit ribosomal RNA", at positions 524 to 776 of the family's 1533-position model. The record is from RNAcentral.
UACAUGGGGAGCAAGCGUUGUCCGGAAUCAUUGGGCGUAAAGCGCGCGUAGGUGGCCUCAUAAGUCCGCUGUGAAAGUCAAAGGCUCAACCUUUGAAAGCCGGUGGAUACUGUGAGGCUAGAGUACGGAAGAGGCGAGUGGAAUUCCUGGUGUAGCGGUGGAAUGCGCAGAUAUCAGGAGGAACACCAAUAGCGAAGGCAGCUCGCUGGGACGUUACUGACACUGAGGCGCGAAAGCGUGGGGAGCGAACAGG